This 512-nucleotide ribosomal RNA is filed under the name uncultured bacterium. RNAcentral's name for it is "partial 16S ribosomal RNA". It matches the Rfam family "Bacterial small subunit ribosomal RNA", at positions 28 to 523 of the family's 1533-position model. The record is from RNAcentral.
GAUGAACGCUGGCGGCGUGCCUAAUACAUGCAAGUCGAGCGAAUGAUGAGGAGCUUGCUCCUCUGAUUUAGCGGCGGACGGGUGAGUAACACGUGGGUAAUCUGCCUGUAAGACGGGGAUAACUCCGGGAAACCGGGGCUAAUACCGGAUAACAAGAGAAGAAGAAUGUCUUCUUUUUGAAAGUCGGUUUUGGCUGACACUUACAGAUGAGCCCGCGGCGCAUUAGCUAGUUGGUGAGGUAACGGCUCACCAAGGCGACGAUGCGUAGCCGACCUGAGAGGGUGAUCGGCCACACUGGGACUGAGACACGGCCCAGACUCCUACGGGAGGCAGCAGUAGGGAAUCUUCGGCAAUGGGCGAAAGCCUGACCGAGCAACGCCGCGUGAGCGAUGAAGGCCUUCGGGUCGUAAAGCUCUGUUGUUAGAGAAGAACAAGUACGAGAGUAACUGCUCGUACCUUGACGGUACCUAACCAGAAAGCAACGGCUAACUACGUGCCAGCCGCCGCAGUAA